Molecule: ribosomal RNA, 440 nt
Filed under: uncultured bacterium
Lineage: Bacteria
Description: partial 16S ribosomal RNA
Rfam family: Bacterial small subunit ribosomal RNA
Source: RNAcentral
CCUACGGGUGGCAGCAGUGGGGAAUAUUGCACAAUGGGGGAAACCCUGAUGCAGCGACGCCGCGUGAGUGAAGAAGUAAUUCGUUAUGUAAAGCUCUAUCAGCAGGGAAGAAAAUGACGGUAACUGAGUAAGAAGCCCCGGCUAACUACGUGCCAGCAGCCGCGGUAAUAAGUAGGGGGCAAGCGUUAUCCGGAUUUACUGGGUGAAAAGGGAGCGUAGACGGCAGUGCAAGUCUGGAGUGAAAGGCGGGGGCUUAACCCCCGGACUGCUCUGGAAACUGUACGGCUGGAGUGCAGGAGAGGUAAGUGGAAUUCCUAGUGUAGCGGUGAAAUGCGUAGAUAUUAGGAGGAACACCAGUGGCGAAGGCGGCUUACUGGACUGUAACUGACGUUGAGGCUCGAAAGCGUGGGGAGCAAACAGGAUUAGAUACCCCAGUAGUC